GAGGACUGACGCUAUUUGCCACUGAGGAAAAUCUGCCUUGUAUAGCUGAUGUUCUGAUGAAAUUGUUAAAGACAGAUAACCUGGCUGAACUUGACCUGGCGAACAAUGCUUUGUUGCACAUUUUAAAAAUCGAUGCCAAAGGCACAUUACGAAAGUUGAUUUAUCAGAUUCGGACUGGAAAAGAUAUUGUCAGAGAGAGAGCCAUCAACUUCCUUUCCC
Pelobates fuscus (common spadefoot toad) is the source of this 219-nucleotide long non-coding RNA. RefSeq lists it as uncharacterized. Lineage: Eukaryota; Metazoa; Chordata; Amphibia; Anura; Pelobatidae. The record is from RefSeq and is a predicted model, not a curated record. The transcript is spliced from 3 exons.